Molecule: ribosomal RNA, 764 nt
Filed under: uncultured bacterium
Lineage: Bacteria
Description: bacterial SSU rRNA
Rfam family: Bacterial small subunit ribosomal RNA
Source: RNAcentral
GAAUGCCGCUUGGAUAGGCAUGCAAGUCGAAUGCGAACGUAGCAAUACUAGUAGCAUGGCGAAAGGGAUAGUAAUGCAUGGGCGAUCUACCCUCGACUCUGGGAUAUGCGGCGGAAACGCCGAGUAAUACUAGACACCGUUUUCGAAGGACAUCCUUUGACAACGAAAGGUCCGCCGGUCGAGGAGGAGCUCAUGUCCUAUCAGCUAGUUGGUGAGGUAACGGCUCACCAAGGCGAGGACGGGUAGCGGGUGUGAGAGCACGACCCGCAUCACUGGCACUGAGACACUGGCCAGACUCCUACGGGAGGCUGCAGUCGAGAAUCUUCGUCAAUGGGGGAAACCCUGAACGAGCGACGCCGCGUGGAGGAUGAAGGCCUUCGGGUUGUAAACUCCUGUUGGGAGGGAGCAAAUUUUGAGCGACCUCCUGAGGAAGCACGGGCUAAGUUCGUGCCAGCAGCCGCGGUAAGACGAACCGUGCGAACGUUAUUCGGAAUCAUUGGGCUUAAAGGGCGCGUAGGCGGCGGUGUAAGUUGGAAGUGAAAUCCCAUCGGCUCAACCGUGGAAUUGCUCCCAGUACUGCAUCGCUCGAGGGGGAUAGGGGUCUGCGGAACUACCGGUGGAGCGGUGAAAUGUGUUGAUAUCGGUGGGAACGCCAGUGGCGAAAGCGGCAGACUUGACCCUUCCUGACGCUGAGGCGCGAAAGCUAGGGGAGCAAACGGGAUUAGAUACCCCGGUAGUCCUAGCCCUUAAACGUUGGGUACUGA